This 465-nucleotide ribosomal RNA is filed under the name uncultured bacterium. Its description in RNAcentral is "bacterial SSU rRNA". It matches the Rfam family "Bacterial small subunit ribosomal RNA", at positions 29 to 487 of the family's 1533-position model. The record is from RNAcentral.
AAUGAACGCUGGCGGCGCGCCUAAUACAUGCAAGUCGAGCGAGAAGACGUAGCAAUACGUUUGUAAAGCGGCGAACGGGUGAGGAAUACAUGGGUAACCUACCCUCGAGUGGGGAAUAACUAGCCGAAAGGUUAGCUAAUACCGCGUACGCUCCUUGGACUUCGGUUCAGGGAGGAAAGCGAUACCGUGGGUAUCGCGCUCUUGGUUGGGCUCAUGUCCUAUCAGCUUGUUGGUGAGGAACGGCUCACCAAGGCUUCGACGGGUAGCUGGUCUGAGAGGACGAUCAGCCACACUGGCACUGCGACACGGGCCAGACUCCUACGGGAGGCAGCAGUAAGGAAUAUUGCGCAAUGGGCGAAAGCCUGACGCAGCGACGCCGCGUGGGGGAUGAAGGUCUUCGGAUUGUAAACCCCUUUCGGGAGGGAAGGAUGGAACGAGCAAUCGUUCGGACGGUACCUCCAGAAG